RNAcentral lists this ribosomal RNA (567 nucleotides) under uncultured bacterium. RNAcentral describes it as "bacterial SSU rRNA". It matches the Rfam family "Bacterial small subunit ribosomal RNA", at positions 409 to 976 of the family's 1533-position model. The record is from RNAcentral.
AGACGGCCCUAUGGGUUGUAAACUGCUUUUGUACCGGAGAAAACCUUUCCCUGCGGGGAGAGCUGAUCGUACGGUGAGAAUAAGCAUCGGCUAACUUCGUGCCAGCAGCCGCGGUAAGACGAAGGAUGCAAGCGUUAUCCGGAUUCAUUGGGUUUAAAGGGAGCGUAGGCGGUCUAAUAAGUCAGUGGUGAAAUCUCUCGGCUUAACUGAGAAAUGGCCAUUGAUACUGUUGGACUUGAGUACAGAUGCCGUUGGCGGAAUAUGACAUGUAGUGGUGAAAUACAUAGAGAUGUCAUAGAACACCGAUUGCGAAGGCAGCUGACGAAACUGUAACUGACGCUGAGGCUCGAAAGUGUGGGGAUCAAACAGGAUUAGAUACCCUGGUAGUCCACACUGUAAACGAUGAUUACUCGCUGCUGAGGGGUGACCUUCAGUGGCUUAGCGAAAGCGAUAAGUAAUCCACCUGGGGAGUACGCCGGCAACGGUGAAACUCAAAGGAAUUGACGGGGGCCCGCACAAGCGGAGGAGCAUGUGGUUUAAUUCGAUGAUACGCGAGGAACCUUACCA